UACGUAGGGGCGAGCGUUAUCCGGAAUUAUUGGGCGUAAAGAGUGCGUAGGUGGUUGUUUAAGCGUGGGGUGAAAGGCAAUGGCUUAACCAUUGUGAGCCUCGCGAACUGGGCGACUUGAGUGCAGGAGAGGAAAGCGGAAUUCCUAGUGUAGCGGUGAAAUGCGUAGAUAUUAGGAGGAACACCAGUGGCGAAGGCGGCUUACUGGACUGUAACUGACGUUGAGGCUCGAAAGCGUGGGGAGCAAACAGGAUUAGAUACCCGGGUAGUCCCUGAG
This 276-nucleotide ribosomal RNA is filed under the name uncultured prokaryote. RNAcentral describes it as "partial 16S ribosomal RNA". It matches the Rfam family "Bacterial small subunit ribosomal RNA", at positions 524 to 801 of the family's 1533-position model. The record is from RNAcentral.